CCGGAUGUAGCUCAUGAGGUUAGAGCACUAGACUCCGAAUCUAGGCGUAGUGGGUUCGACUCCCACCAUCCCUC
RNAcentral lists this transfer RNA (74 nucleotides) under Kiloniellaceae bacterium. RNAcentral's name for it is "tRNA-Arg". It matches the Rfam family "tRNA". From Rfam's summary of the family: Transfer RNA (tRNA) molecules are approximately 80 nucleotides in length. Their secondary structure includes four short double-helical elements and three loops (D, anti-codon, and T loops). Further hydrogen bonds mediate the characteristic L-shaped molecular structure. tRNAs have two regions of fundamental functional importance: the anti-codon, which is responsible for specific mRNA codon recognition, and the 3' end, to which the tRNAs corresponding amino acid is attached (by aminoacyl-tRNA synthetases). tRNAs cope with the degeneracy of the genetic code in two manners: having more than one tRNA (with a specific anti-codon) for a particular amino acid; and 'wobble' base-pairing, i.e. permitting non-standard base-pairing at the 3rd anti-codon position. Lineage: Bacteria; Pseudomonadati; Pseudomonadota; Alphaproteobacteria; Rhodospirillales; Kiloniellaceae. The record is from RNAcentral.